RNAcentral lists this ribosomal RNA (766 nucleotides) under Acarospora sp. RNAcentral describes it as "partial large subunit ribosomal RNA". It matches the Rfam family "Eukaryotic large subunit ribosomal RNA", at positions 322 to 1420 of the family's 3401-position model. The record is from RNAcentral. Lineage: Eukaryota; Fungi; Ascomycota; Lecanoromycetes; Acarosporales; Acarosporaceae.
AUUGGCCAGAGACCGAUAGCGCACAAGUAGAGUGAUCGAAAGAUGAAAAGCACUUUGGAAAGAGAGUCAAACAGUACGUGAAAUUGUUGAAAGGGAAGCGCUUGUAACCAGACUUGCCCGCGGGUGAUCAGCCGGUAUUCUUACCGGUGCACUCACCCGCGGUCAGGCCAGCAUCGGUUCGGGCGGCUGGAUAAAGUCCGCUGGAAUGUAGCUCCUCUCGGGGAGUGUUAUAGCCAGCGGUGCCAUGCAGCCCGCCCGGACCGAGGACCGCGCUUCGGCUAGGAUGCUGGCGUAAUGGUUGUAAGCGACCCGUCUUGAAACACGGACCAAGGAGUCUAACAUCUAUGCGAGUGUUUGGGUGUCAAACCCAUGCGCGUAAUGAAAGUGAACGGAGGUGGGAACCCUCAAGGGUGCACCAUCGACCGAUCCUGAUGUCUUCGGAUGGAUUUGAGUAAGAGCAUAGCUGUUGGGACCCGAAAGAUGGUGAACUAUGCCUGAAUAGGGUGAAGCCAGAGGAAACUCUGGUGGAGGCUCGCAGCGGUUCUGACGUGCAAAUCGAUCGUCAAAUUUGGGUAUAGGGGCGAAAGACUAAUCGAACCAUCUGCUACUAGAUGGCAUACGGGCCCUGUGCCCCAGUAGUCCCCGCAUGGUGGGGGCGACAUCGUCGGUCUCUUCGGGGACGCCUUUGGGCUACCCGCAGUGAGCCACGGGCUCAUUCACAGACUAAGUGGCGGUGGCCGUGGCUCGGAGCACGGUUAGGAUAUAG